UACGUAGGGUGCAAGCGUUAAUCGGAAUUACUGGGCGUAAAGCGUGCGUAGGCGGCUCUGUAAGUCAGCUGUGAAAGCCCCGGGCUUAACCUGGGAAUUGCGGUUGAAACUACAGGGCUAGAAUCUGGCAGAGGGGGGUGGAAUUCCACGUGUAGCAGUGAAAUGCGUAGAGAUGUGGAGGAACACCGAUGGCGAAGGCAGCCCCCUGGGCUGAGAUUGACGCUCAGGCACGAAAGCGUGGGGAGCAAACAGG
This 253-nucleotide ribosomal RNA is filed under the name uncultured bacterium. Its description in RNAcentral is "partial 16S ribosomal RNA". It matches the Rfam family "Bacterial small subunit ribosomal RNA", at positions 524 to 776 of the family's 1533-position model. The record is from RNAcentral.